GACAUACCGAACCGGAAAACCGUAGAGAGUACCCGGUUCCCCUUGUGGUCGGUGUACGGGUGGUGCAUGGCUGUCGUCAGCUCGUGUCGUGGGAUGUUGGGUUAAGUCCCGCAACGAGCGCAACCCUUGUCUUAUGUUGCCAGCACGUGAUGGUGGGGACUCGUAAGAGACUGCCGGGGUCAACUCGGAGGAAGGUGGGGACGACGUCAAGUCAUCAUGCCCCUUAUGUCCAGGGCUUCACACAUGCUACAAUGGCCAGUACAGAGGGCUGCGAGACCGUGAGGUGGAGCGAAUCCCUUAAAGCUGGUCUCAGUUCGGAUCGGGGUCUGCAACUCGACCCCGUGAAGUCGGAGUCGCUAGUAAUCGCAGAUCAGCAACGCUGCGGUGAAUACGUUCCCGGGCCUU
RNAcentral lists this ribosomal RNA (405 nucleotides) under uncultured Rhodococcus sp. Its description in RNAcentral is "bacterial SSU rRNA". It matches the Rfam family "Bacterial small subunit ribosomal RNA", at positions 978 to 1382 of the family's 1533-position model. Lineage: Bacteria; Bacillati; Actinomycetota; Actinomycetes; Mycobacteriales; Nocardiaceae. The record is from RNAcentral.